CAGGCGGCAAUCCGCCGCCUCCUUCUUCCCUCAAUUUCCCUUUCCUUACGGGAGAUCAGUUUCACUUUCCAUUUGAUUACGUAAAUUGAAGAUAAAACACGAUUUUUGAGUUACGGAAGGCGGCAGCGGCUUCUUACGCAA
Caenorhabditis elegans is the source of this 141-nucleotide non-coding RNA. The record is from Ensembl. Lineage: Eukaryota; Metazoa; Nematoda; Chromadorea; Rhabditida; Rhabditidae.